Molecule: ribosomal RNA, 427 nt
Filed under: uncultured Comamonadaceae bacterium
Lineage: Bacteria; Pseudomonadati; Pseudomonadota; Betaproteobacteria; Burkholderiales; Comamonadaceae
Description: bacterial SSU rRNA
Rfam family: Bacterial small subunit ribosomal RNA
Source: RNAcentral
AGUGGGGAAUUUUGGACAAUGGGCGCAAGCCUGAUCCAGCCAUGCCGCGUGCAGGAUGAAGGCCUUCGGGUUGUAAACUGCUUUUGUACGGAACGAAAAAGUUCUCUCUAAUACAGGGGGCGAAUGACGGUACCGUAAGAAUAAGCACCGGCUAACUACGUGCCAGCAGCCGCGGUAAUACGUAGGGUGCGAGCGUUAAUCGGAAUUACUGGGCGUAAAGCGUGCGCAGGCGGUGAUGUAAGACAGAUGUGAAAUCCCCGGGCUCAACCUGGGAACUGCAUUUGUGACUGCAUCGCUGGAGUGCGGCAGAGGGGGAUGGAAUUCCGCGUGUAGCAGUGAAAUGCGUAGAUAUGCGGAGGAACACCGAUGGCGAAGGCAAUCCCCUGGGCCUGCACUGACGCUCAUGCACGAAAGCGUGGGGAGCAAA